UACGUAGGGCGCAAGCGUUGUCCGGAAUUAUUGGGCGUAAAGAGCUCGUAGGCGGUUUGUCGCGUCGAAUGUGAAAUCCCGGGGCUCAACCCCGGGCCUGCAUUCGAUACGGGCAGACUAGAGUUCGGUAGGGGAGUCUGGAAUUCCAGGUGUAGCGGUGAAAUGCGUAGAUAUCUGGAGGAACACCGAUGGCGAAGGCAGCCCCCUGGGCCAACACUGACGCUCAGGCACGAAAGCGUGGGGAGCAAACAGG
RNAcentral lists this ribosomal RNA (253 nucleotides) under uncultured bacterium. RNAcentral's name for it is "partial 16S ribosomal RNA". It matches the Rfam family "Bacterial small subunit ribosomal RNA", at positions 524 to 776 of the family's 1533-position model. The record is from RNAcentral.